Transfer RNA from Cavia porcellus (domestic guinea pig), 72 nucleotides. It matches the Rfam family "tRNA". Rfam says of the family: Transfer RNA (tRNA) molecules are approximately 80 nucleotides in length. Their secondary structure includes four short double-helical elements and three loops (D, anti-codon, and T loops). The record is from Rfam. NCBI's taxonomy places the organism in Eukaryota, Metazoa, Chordata, Mammalia, Rodentia, Caviidae.
GGGGAUUUAGCUCAGCGGCAUAAGCGCCUGCCUUGCAAGCAGGUAAUCGUGAGUUCGAUCCCCCGGUACCUA